AGGGUAGACCUCCCACCCUUGUGUAUUAUUACUUUGUUGCUUUGGCGAGCUGCCUUCGGGCCUUGUAUGCUCGCCAGAGAAUACCAAAACUCUUUUUAUUAAUGUCGUCUGAGUACUAUAUAAUAGUUAAAACUUUCAACAACGGAUCUCUUGGUUCUGGCAUCGAUGAAGAACGCAGCGAAAUGCGAUAAGUAAUGUGAAUUGCAGAAUUCAGUGAAUCAUCGAAUCUUUGAACGCACAUUGCGCCCCUUGGUAUUCCGGGGGGCAUUCGAGCGUCAUUUCAACCCUCAAGCUUAGCUUGGUAUUGAGUCUAUGUCAGUAAUGGCAGGCUCUAAAAUCAGUGGCGGCGCCGCUGGGUCCUGAACGUAGUAAUAUCUCUCGUUACAGGUUCUCGGUGUGCUUCUGCCAAAACCCAAAUUUUUCUAUGGUUGACCUCGGAUCAGGUAGGGAUACCCGCUGAACUUAA
RNAcentral lists this ribosomal RNA (466 nucleotides) under Botrytis cinerea. RNAcentral describes it as "eukaryotic LSU rRNA". The stretch from base 131 to 278 matches the Rfam family "5.8S ribosomal RNA". Lineage: Eukaryota; Fungi; Ascomycota; Leotiomycetes; Helotiales; Sclerotiniaceae. The record is from RNAcentral.